This 459-nucleotide ribosomal RNA is filed under the name uncultured Oscillospiraceae bacterium. RNAcentral describes it as "bacterial SSU rRNA". It matches the Rfam family "Bacterial small subunit ribosomal RNA", at positions 920 to 1382 of the family's 1533-position model. Lineage: Bacteria; Bacillati; Bacillota; Clostridia; Eubacteriales; Oscillospiraceae. The record is from RNAcentral.
CCCGCACAAGCAGUGGAGUAUGUGGUUUAAUUCGAAGCAACGCGAAGAACCUUACCAGGGCUUGACAUACCGACGACCGGUCCGGAGACGGGCCUUUCCUUCGGGACGUCGGAUACAGGUGGUGCAUGGUUGUCGUCAGCUCGUGUCGUGAGAUGUUGGGUUAAGUCCCGCAACGAGCGCAACCCUUAUUGUCAGUUGCCAUCAUUAAGUUGGGCACUCUGGCGAGACUGCCGGUGAUAAAUCGGAGGAAGGUGGGGAUGAUGUCAAAUCAUCAUGCCCCUUAUGUCCUGGGCUACACACGUACUACAAUGGCUGAUACAAAGCGAAGCGAUACCGCGAGGAGGAGCAAAUCGCAAAAUCAGUCUCAGUUCGGAUUGCAGGCUGAAACCCGCCUGCAUGAAGUCGGAAUUGCUAGUAAUGGCAGGUCAGCAUACUGCCGUGAAUACGUUCCCGGGCCUU